GUGCUCACUUCGGCAGCACAUAUACUAAAAUUGAAAGGAUACAGAGUAGAUUAGCAUGGCCCUUGCACAAGGAUGACACGCAAAUUCGUGAAGCCUUCCAUAUUUUU
This 107-nucleotide small nuclear RNA is filed under the name Bison bison bison. The record is from RNAcentral. Lineage: Eukaryota; Metazoa; Chordata; Mammalia; Artiodactyla; Bovidae.